GGCCUCGUAGCUCAGUUGGCUAGAGCGUUGGCUGUACUGAAGCCUUUCCCUUGCUGGCGUGGGUUCAAAUCCCACCGAGGCCG
RNAcentral lists this transfer RNA (83 nucleotides) under Schistocephalus solidus. It matches the Rfam family "tRNA". Rfam says of the family: Transfer RNA (tRNA) molecules are approximately 80 nucleotides in length. The record is from Rfam by way of RNAcentral. Lineage: Eukaryota; Metazoa; Platyhelminthes; Cestoda; Diphyllobothriidea; Diphyllobothriidae.